AUUGAACGCUGGCGGCAUGCCUUACACAUGCAAGUCGAACGGCAGCGCGGGAGCAAUCCUGGCGGCGAGUGGCGAACGGGUGAGUAAUACAUCGGAACGUGCCCAAUCGUGGGGGAUAACGCAGCGAAAGCUGUGCUAAUACCGCAUACGAUCUACGGAUGAAAGCAGGGGAUCGCAAGACCUUGCGCGAAUGGAGCGGCCGAUGGCAGAUUAGGUAGUUGGUGAGGUAAAGGCUCACCAAGCCUUCGAUCUGUAGCUGGUCUGAGAGGACGACCAGCCACACUGGGACUGAGACACGGCCCAGACUCCUACGGGAGGCAGCAGUGGGGAAUUUUGGACAAUGGGCGAAAGCCUGAUCCAGCCAUGCCGCGUGCAGGAUGAAGGCCUUCGGGUAGUAAACUGCUUUUGUACGGAACGAAACGGUCUUUUCUAAUAAAGAAGGCUAAUGACGGUACCGUAAGAAUAAGCACCGGCUAACUACGUG
RNAcentral lists this ribosomal RNA (484 nucleotides) under uncultured bacterium. RNAcentral's name for it is "partial 16S ribosomal RNA". It matches the Rfam family "Bacterial small subunit ribosomal RNA", at positions 30 to 507 of the family's 1533-position model. The record is from RNAcentral.